Molecule: ribosomal RNA, 478 nt
Filed under: uncultured bacterium
Lineage: Bacteria
Description: bacterial SSU rRNA
Rfam family: Bacterial small subunit ribosomal RNA
Source: RNAcentral
CGCUAUCACUCCUACGGGAGGCAGCAGUGGGGAAUAUUGCACAAUGGGGGAAACCCUGAUGCAGCCAUGCCGCGUGUGUGAAGUAAGGCCUUCGGGUUGUUAAAGUCACUUUCAGUAGGGAGGAAGGUAGUGUAGUUAACACCUGCAUUAUUUGACGUUACCUACAGAAGAAGCACCGGCUAACUCCGUGCCAGCAGCCGCGGUAAUACGGAGGGUGCGAGCGUUAAUCGGAAUUACUGGGCGUAAAGCGCAUGCAGGCGGCCUGUUAAGUCAGAUGUGAAAGCCCGGGGCUUAACCUCGGAAUUGCAUUUGAAACUGGCAGGCUAGAGUCUUGUAGAGGGGGUAGAAUUUCACCGGUGUAGCGGUGAAAAUGCGUAGAGAUCUGAAGGAAUACCAGUGGCGAAGGCGGCCCCCUGGACAAAGACUGACGCUCAGAUGCGAAAGCGUGGGGAGCAAACAGGAUUAGAUACCCUGGUAG